CGGGCUACCAUGCAGUCGACGGUGAAGCAGGAGCUUGCUCUUGUGGAUCAGUGGCGAACGGGUGAGUAACACGUGAGCAACCUGCCCCUGACUCUGGGAUAAGCGCUGGAAACGGCGUCUAAUACUGGAUAUGUGACGUGACCGCAUGGUCUGCGUUUGGAAAGAUUUUUCGGUUGGGGAUGGGCUCGCGGCCUAUCAGCUUGUUGGUGAGGUAAUGGCUCACCAAGGCGUCGACGGGUAGCCGGCCUGAGAGGGUGACCGGCCACACUGGGACUGAGACACGGCCCAGACUCCUACGGGAGGCAGCAGUGGGGAAUAUUGCACAAUGGGCGAAAGCCUGAUGCAGCAACGCCGCGUGAGGGAUGACGGCCUUCGGGUUGUAAACCUCUUUUAGCAGGGAAGAAGCGAAAGUGACGGUACCUGCAGAAAAAGCGCCGGCUAACUACGUGCCAGCAGCCGCGGUAAUACGUAGGGCGCAAGCGUUAUCCGGAAUUAUUGGGCGUAAAGAGCUCGUAGGCGGUUUGUCGCGUCUGCUGUGAAAUCCCGAGGCUCAACCUCGGGCCUGCAGUGGGUACGGGCAGACUAGAGUGCGGUAGGGGAGAUUGGAAUUCCUGGUGUAGCGGUGGAAUGCGCAGAUAUCAGGAGGAACACCGAUGGCGAAGGCAGAUCUCUGGGCCGUAACUGACGCUGAGGAGCGAAAGGGUGGGGAGCAAACAGGCUUAGAUACCCUGGUAGUCCACCCCGUAAACGUUGGGAACUAGUUGUGGGGUCCAUUCCACGGAUUCCGUGACGCAGCUAACGCAUUAAGUUCCCCGCCUGGGGAGUACGGCCGCAAGGCUAAAACUCAAAGGAAUUGACGGGGACCCGCACAAGCGGCGGAGCAUGCGGAUUAAUUCGAUGCAACGCGAAGAACCUUACCAAGGCUUGACAUAUACGAGAACGGGCCAGAAAUGGUCAACUCUUUGGACACUCGUAAACAGUG
This 982-nucleotide ribosomal RNA is filed under the name uncultured prokaryote. Its description in RNAcentral is "bacterial SSU rRNA". It matches the Rfam family "Bacterial small subunit ribosomal RNA", at positions 43 to 1039 of the family's 1533-position model. The record is from RNAcentral.